GUGGAGUUGUUGAGUGGACCAAAUCCUUUGUGGGCAAUCCUAUUAAGAGGUAGUAGUAGUAGUGUGCAGUGGAAUAGAGUGGAGUGGAUUAGUGGAGUUGAGGGGACCUGUUGCUCUGUAGACAAUCAUCUUAGUGAAGUGGUCAUAUGACCAGCCCACAUGGCCAGGACCAGUAUGAACCCUUGUGGGCAGUCACACAGUGGUGGGCUAAGGGGAGACCACACUGACCACAGCACAGAGCACAUCCAAUGAUCAGCACCCACUUGGAGCCAGUCAAAGGACACUCAUGCCUCUCCAGAAGGAAACCCUCAGAGACGUCUGGACAGACGACAGGUCUCAAGAAAGUCAAGAUGUGUCCACUCCACAUAAGAUAAUGCUUUCUAUAAGCCAAAGAAGAAGGCAGAGUCAGCCAACCCAGCCACCAAUGGUGCCGACGCCAAGCCCAAAAAGAGCAAGAACAAGAAGAGCGAAGAACUGUCUGGAGAAGAGAGUCCUGCUGUUCAAAGUACGGACUGCUCUGCACAGUUUAAAUAACAGAAUCUUCAAAUGA
RNAcentral lists this long non-coding RNA (550 nucleotides) under Salmo trutta (river trout). RNAcentral's name for it is "lncRNA (ENSSTUG00000021225.1)". The record is from RNAcentral. Lineage: Eukaryota; Metazoa; Chordata; Actinopteri; Salmoniformes; Salmonidae.